UAUGGCUUUUCAUUCCUAUGUGAUUGCUGCUCCGAACUCAUGUAGGGCUAAAAGCCAUGGG
RNAcentral lists this microRNA precursor (61 nucleotides) under Mus musculus (house mouse). RNAcentral's name for it is "Mmu-Mir-135-P4_pre stem-loop". It matches the Rfam family "mir-135 microRNA precursor family", at positions 17 to 74 of the family's 88-position model. From Rfam's summary of the family: The hairpin precursors (represented here) are predicted based on base pairing and cross-species conservation -- their extents are not known. In this case the mature sequence is excised from the 5' arm of the hairpin. The record is from RNAcentral. Lineage: Eukaryota; Metazoa; Chordata; Mammalia; Rodentia; Muridae.